UGGGGGAUAUUGCACAAUGGGCGAAAGCCUGAUGCAGCGACGCCGCGUGGGGGAUGAAGGCCUUCGGGUUGUAAACUUCUUUUGCUCUGAACAAGGCAUGCCUUUGGGGUGUGUUGAGUGUAGGGGUUGAUUAGCGCCGGCUAACUACGUGCCAGCAGCCGCGGUAAUACGUAGGGCGCGAGCGUUGUCCGGAAUUAUUGGGCGUAAAGGGCUUGUAGGUGGCUGGUUGCGUCUGUCGUGAAAGCUCAUGGCUUAACUGUGGGUUUGCGGUGGGUACUGGGUGGCUUGAGUGCAGUAGGGGAGGCUGGAAUUCCUGGUGUAGAGGUGGAAUGCGCAGGUAUCAGGAGGAAUACCGGUGGUGUAGGCGGGUCUCUGGGCUGUUACUGACGCUGAGGAGCGAAAGCGUGGGGAGCGAACAGG
This 420-nucleotide ribosomal RNA is filed under the name Fusobacteriota bacterium. RNAcentral describes it as "Fusobacteria bacterium partial 16S ribosomal RNA". It matches the Rfam family "Bacterial small subunit ribosomal RNA", at positions 355 to 776 of the family's 1533-position model. The record is from RNAcentral. Lineage: Bacteria; Fusobacteriati; Fusobacteriota.